GCCUUAAACAUGCAAGUCGAACGGCAGCGGGAAAGUAGCUUGCUACUUUUGCCGGCGAGUGGCGAACGGGUGAGUAAUGUAUCGGAACGUGCCCAGUAGCGGGGGAUAACUACGCGAAAGCGUGGCUAAUACCGCAUACGCCCUACGGGGGAAAGGGGGGGAUCUUAGGACCUCUCACUAUUGGAGCGGCCGAUAUCGGAUUAGCUAGUUGGUGAGGUAAUGGCUCACCAAGGCAACGAUCCGUAGCUGGUUUGAGAGGACGACCAGCCACACUGGGACUGAGACACGGCCCAGACUCCUACGGGAGGCAGCAGUGGGGAAUUUUGGACAAUGGGGGAAACCCUGAUCCAGCCAUCCCGCGUGUGCGAUGAAGGCCUUCGGGUUGUAAAGCACUUUUGUCAGGGAAGAAAAGGUGUCGGAUAAUACCCGACACUGAUGACGGUACCUGAAGAAUAAGCACCGGCUAACUACGUGCCAGCAGCCGCGGUAAUACGUAGGGUGCAAGCGUUAAUCGGAAUUACUGGGCGUAAAGCGUGCGCAGGCGGUUCGGAAAGAAAGAUGUGAAAUCCCAGGGCUCAACCUUGGAACUGCAUUUUUAACUGCCGGACUAGAGUAUGUCAGAGGGGGGUGGAAUUCCACGUGUAGCAGUGAAAUGCGUAGAUAUGUGGAGGAACACCGAUGGCGAAGGCAGCCCCCUGGGAUAAUACUGACGCUCAUGCACGAAAGCGUGGGUAGCAAACAGGAUUAGAUACCCUGGUAGUCCACGCCCUAAACGAUGUCAACUAGCUGUUGGGCCCUUCGGGGCUUAGUAGCGCAGCUAACGCGUGAAGUUGACCGCCUGGGGAGUACGGUCGCAAGAUUAAAACUCAAAGGAAUUGACGGGGACCCGCACAAGCGGUGGAUGAUGUGGAUUAAUUCGAUGCAACGCGAAAAACCUUACCUACCCUUGACAUGUCUGGAAUCCUGAAGAGAUUUAGGAGUGCUCGCAAGAGAACCGGAACACAGGUGCUGCAUGGCUGUCGUCAGCUCGUGUCGUGAGAUGUUGGGUUAAGUCCCGCAACGAGCGCAACCCUUGUCAUUAGUUGCUACAUUUAGUUGAGCACUCUAAUGAGACUGCCGGUGACAAACCGGAGGAAGGUGGGGAUGACGUCAAGUCCUCAUGGCCCUUAUGGGUAGGGCUUCACACGUCAUACAAUGGUCGGGACAGAGGGUUGCCAAACCGCAAGGUGGAGCUAAUCUCAUAAACCCGAUCGUAGUCCGGAUUGCAGGCUGCAACUCGCCUGCAUGAAGUCGGAAUCGCUAGUAAUCGCGGAUCAGCAUGUCGCGGUGAAUACGUUCCCGGGUCUUGUACACACCGCCCGUCACACCAUGGGAGUGGGUUUUACCAGAAGUAGUUAGCCUAACCGCAAGGGGGGCGAUAACCACGGUAGGGUU
Molecule: ribosomal RNA, 1434 nt
Filed under: Advenella kashmirensis
Lineage: Bacteria; Pseudomonadati; Pseudomonadota; Betaproteobacteria; Burkholderiales; Alcaligenaceae
Description: 16S ribosomal RNA
Rfam family: Bacterial small subunit ribosomal RNA
Source: RNAcentral